GUGCUCGCUUUGGCAGCACAUACACUAAAAUUGGAAUGAUACAGAUAAGAUUAGUAUGGCCCCUGCACAAGGAUGACACACAAAUUCGUGAAGCAUUCCAUAUUUUU
RNAcentral lists this small nuclear RNA (107 nucleotides) under Zalophus californianus (California sea lion). The record is from RNAcentral. Lineage: Eukaryota; Metazoa; Chordata; Mammalia; Carnivora; Otariidae.